AGUCGAGCGGUAGCACAGAGAGCUUGCUCUCAGGUGACGAGCGGCGGACGGGUGAGUAAUGUCUGGGAAACUGCCUGAUGGAGGGGGAUAACUACUAGAAACGGUAGCUAAUACCGCAUAAUGUCGCAAGACCAAAGUGGGGGACCUUCGGGCCUCAUGCCAUCAGAUGUGCCCAGAUGGGAUUAGCUAGUAGGUGGGGUAACGGCUCACCUAGGCGACGAUCCCUAGCUGGUCUGAGAGGAUGACCAGCCACACUGGAACUGAGACACGGUCCAGACUCCUACGGGAGGCAGCAGUGGGGAAUAUUGCACAAUGGGCGCAAGCCUGAUGCAGCCAUGCCGCGUGUGUGAAGAAGGCCUUCGGGUUGUAAAGCACUUUCAGCGGGGAGGAAGGCGGUGAGGUUAAUAACCUCAUCGAUUGACGUUACCCGCAGAAGAAGCACCGGCUAACUCCGUGCCAGCAGCCGCGGUAAUACGGAGGGUGCAAGCGUUAAUCGGAAUUACUGGGCGUAAAGCGCACGCAGGCGGUCUGUCAAGUCGGAUGUGAAAUCCCCGGGCUCAACCUGGGAACUGCACUCGAAACUGGCAGGCUAGAGUCUUGUAGAGGGGGGUAGAAUUCCAGGUGUAGCGGUGAAAUGCGUAGAGAUCUGGAGGAAUACCGGUGGCGAAGGCGGCCCCCUGGACAAAGACUGACGCUCAGGUGCGAAAGCGUGGGGAGCGAACAGGAUUAGAUACCCUGGUAGUCCACGCCGUAAACGAUGUCGAUUUGGAGGUUG
Molecule: ribosomal RNA, 775 nt
Filed under: uncultured Enterobacteriaceae bacterium
Lineage: Bacteria; Pseudomonadati; Pseudomonadota; Gammaproteobacteria; Enterobacterales; Enterobacteriaceae
Description: SSU rRNA
Rfam family: Bacterial small subunit ribosomal RNA
Source: RNAcentral